Molecule: ribosomal RNA, 500 nt
Filed under: uncultured Glomeromycotina
Lineage: Eukaryota; Fungi; Glomeromycota
Description: partial small subunit ribosomal RNA
Rfam family: Eukaryotic small subunit ribosomal RNA
Source: RNAcentral
CCAACAGCGUAUAUUAAAGUUGUUGCAGUUAAAAAGCUCGUAGUUGAAUUUCGGGGUUAGUAGGUUGGUCAUGCCUCUGGUAUGUACUGGUCUCACUGAUUCCUCCUUCCUGAUGAACCGUAAUGCCAUUAAUUUGGUGUUGCGGGGAAUUUGGACUGUUACUUUGAAAAAAUUAGAGUGUUUAAAGCAAGCUAACGCUUGAAUACAUUAGCAUGGAAUAAUGAAAUAGGACGUUCGAUCCUAUUUUGUUGGUUUCUAGGAUUGACGUAAUGAUUAAUAGGGAUAGUUGGGGGCAUUAGUAUUCAAUUGUCAGAGGUGAAAUUCUUGGAUUUAUUGAAGACUAACUACUGCGAAAGCAUUUGCCAAGGAUGUUUUCAUUAAUCAAGAACGAAAGUUAGGGGAUCGAAGACGAUCAGAUACCGUCGUAGUCUUAACCAUAAACUAUGCCGACUAGGGAUCGGAUGAUGUUAAUUUUUUAAUGACUCAUUCGGCGCCUUACG